Molecule: ribosomal RNA, 253 nt
Filed under: uncultured bacterium
Lineage: Bacteria
Description: partial 16S ribosomal RNA
Rfam family: Bacterial small subunit ribosomal RNA
Source: RNAcentral
UACGUAGGUGGCAAGCGUUGUUCGGAUUCAUUGGGCGUAAAGGGUGCGUAGGUGGCGCGGUAAGUCGGGUGUGAAAUCUCGGAGCUUAACUCCGAAAUUGCAUUCGAUACUGCCGUGCUUGAGGACUGGAGAGGAGACUGGAAUUCAUGGUGUAGCAGUGAAAUGCGUAGAGAUCAUGAGGAAGACCAGUGGCGAAGGCGGGUCUCUGGACAGUUCCUGACACUGAGGCACGAAGGCCAGGGGAGCAAACGGG